UACGUAGGGUGCAAGCGUUGUCCGGAAUUAUUGGGCGUAAAGAGCUCGUAGGCGGUUUGUCGCGUCUGCUGUGAAAACUCAGGGCUUAACCCUGAGCUUGCAGUGGGUACGGGCAGACUAGAGUGCGGUAGGGGAGACUGGAAUUCCUGGUGUAGCGGUGAAAUGCGCAGAUGUCAGGAGGAACACCGGUGGCGAAGGCGGGUCUCUGGGCCGUAACUGACGCUGAGGAGCGAAAGCAUGGGGAGCGAACAGG
RNAcentral lists this ribosomal RNA (253 nucleotides) under uncultured bacterium. RNAcentral's name for it is "partial 16S ribosomal RNA". It matches the Rfam family "Bacterial small subunit ribosomal RNA", at positions 524 to 776 of the family's 1533-position model. The record is from RNAcentral.